Molecule: transfer RNA, 65 nt
Filed under: Sinomicrurus macclellandi (MacClellands coral snake)
Lineage: Eukaryota; Metazoa; Chordata; Lepidosauria; Squamata; Elapidae
Description: tRNA-Ala
Source: RNAcentral
GGAGUCUUAGUUUAUUUGAAAUAUCUGUAUUGCAAACAGAUGAUGUGGUUUAGCCGCAGACUCUA